UGCUUCUUCCUCUUUCUUAAUAUUUUACUUAGUUUCUUAUUUUAGUCUUCUUUCUCUCUUUAAUAUAGAAAAUCUUUUACCUUUGAGGUCACUGAAAUUGGAUUUUUCAUGUGAUAAGAAUUGGUAAAGUACCACAGUAUCCUCAUACUAUUGCUCAAUGGAGUCUCUUUAGAUUUUGAAUUACUGGUGCUUUAUGCUUAGGUACUUAGAGAAGUGCUUCCUCAGUUGUCAUAUCUACUCUCAAGUCUCAAUCGAUGUUCCAGUUACAGGUUGAAGGUCUUGGAUUUUGUAGCUCUCAGAAGAGUUCUGUGUCAAUCUUCAAUGUAGCGAAACCAGAAAGUGCUAUCUCAUGGUUGAAUAGAGCGCACAAGGGUCGCGAUGUAUGAGGAUGAUGUAAAGCUUGAUUACUUGCAAAAUUGCGGAGGAUUUAUUUUAGGGGGCAAGACUGGCCCAUGACAAAGGAAGCUCACCUGUUAACAAGGAGCCAAUCCACGAGAAAUUUUAGAUAGCCCAACCUUACAGCUUUGGCAACUGAUUUUUUUUAAUUCCAUCUUCUAUGAGGGAUCCAAUGCUCACUCAUCACAUGCUUAUCUUGCUAACUGAAUUAUUACCAUUAAAAGUAGUAUUGCUUAUCUCAGCUCUGUUUGUAUUGGCAGUUAAAUAGAAAUAGAUGACGAUGAAUAUUACUCGUGACAAUGGAACUGGAAUGAUAAAGGUCAGUUCUUA
Lycium ferocissimum is the source of this 726-nucleotide long non-coding RNA. RefSeq lists it as uncharacterized. The transcript is spliced from 3 exons. NCBI's taxonomy places the organism in Eukaryota, Viridiplantae, Streptophyta, Magnoliopsida, Solanales, Solanaceae. The record is from RefSeq and is a predicted model, not a curated record.